Molecule: long non-coding RNA, 270 nt
Organism: Brienomyrus brachyistius
Lineage: Eukaryota; Metazoa; Chordata; Actinopteri; Osteoglossiformes; Mormyridae
Exons: 3
Source: RefSeq, a predicted model, not a curated record
AGGACAGUAUGGUGAGUGGGGGGGGGCAUAGCAAGGCAGAUGGAGUCUAGGUAGGCAUGAUGAGGUGGGCGGGGCAUGAGGAAGAGGGUGGGGCAUGAUGAGGUAGGUGUGGUAUGACAAGGCAGGUGGAGUCUAAGUGGGCAGGGUGUGAUGAGGUGGGAGGGGCAUGAGGAAGUGGGUGGGGCAUGACAAGGCAGGUGGAGUCUAGGUGGGCAAGGCAUGAUGAGGUGGGAGGGGCAUGAGGAAGUGGGUGGGGCAUGACAAGGCAGG